Molecule: ribosomal RNA, 75 nt
Filed under: Proteus sp. G2657
Lineage: Bacteria; Pseudomonadati; Pseudomonadota; Gammaproteobacteria; Enterobacterales; Morganellaceae
Also listed under: 3 other names
Description: partial 23S ribosomal RNA
Source: RNAcentral
AAGCGUAGCGAUACGUUGAGCUAACCAGUACUAAUGAACCGUGAGGCUUAACCUGACAACACCAAAGGUGUUUUG